CAGGGAGGACAUGCAGACUCCACACAGAAAGACACCAGGUCAGCCGUGGCUUGAACCCGGAACCUUCUUGCUGUGAGUCCACAGCGCUAAUCGCUGUUCCACCAUGCUGCCCGCUAUUGCUGUCUUUUGUUGUGAAUGUUAUAGUUUUAGAGGAGAAUUUAUAUACUGAAUGCUGGAAUACCAGUGUUCACAAAUGGCCCCACAGCUGUGUUACUGUCAGGAGGUGAGUGUGAGGAGGAUGCUAGCAUAUUGUAGUUGUAGGAACAGCCCUCUCCAGGUGACAUGCUGUCUGGGGGGGCUAGUGGACCCUGGACUUCUAGAGAGGGUGGUUCCUCUGGAGUCUGUACACCUGGCGUUUCUUUUUGACAAUCGUGUAGACUGUCUGAGCUUCCUGUUACCUGCCUCCCUAGGGUGCAGUGGUUUUUGUUUG
Monopterus albus (swamp eel) is the source of this 430-nucleotide long non-coding RNA. RefSeq lists it as uncharacterized. The transcript is spliced from 2 exons. Lineage: Eukaryota; Metazoa; Chordata; Actinopteri; Synbranchiformes; Synbranchidae. The record is from RefSeq and is a predicted model, not a curated record.